Molecule: ribosomal RNA, 542 nt
Filed under: uncultured bacterium
Lineage: Bacteria
Description: partial 16S ribosomal RNA
Rfam family: Bacterial small subunit ribosomal RNA
Source: RNAcentral
UGGGGAAUAUUGCACAAUGGGCGCAAGCCUGAUGCAGCCAUGCCGCGUGUGUGAAGAAGGCCUUCGGGUUGUAAAGCACUUUCAGCGAGGAGGAAGGUGGUGAACUUAAUACGUUCAUCAAUUGACGUUACUCGCAGAAGAAGCACCGGCUAACUCCGUGCCAGCAGCCACGGUAAUACGGAGGGUGCAAGCGUUAAUCGGAAUUACUGGGCGUAAAGCGCACGCAGGCGGUUUGUUAAGUCAGAUGUGAAAUCCCCGGGCUCAACCUGGGAACUGCAUUUGAAACUGGCAAGCUAGAGUCUCGUAGAGGGGGGUAGAGUUCCAGGUGUAGCGGUGAAAUGCGUAGAGAUCUGGAGGAAUACCGGUGGCGAAGGCGGCCCCCUGGACGAAGACUGACGCUCAGGUGCGAAAGCGUGGGGAGCAAACAGGAUUAGAUACCCUGGUAGUCCACGCUGUAAAACGAUGUCGAUUUUGGAGGUUGUGCCCUUGAGGCGUGGCUUCCGGAGCUAACGCGUUAAAUCGACCGCCUGGGGAGUACGGCC